RNAcentral lists this transfer-messenger RNA (401 nucleotides) under pig gut metagenome. It matches the Rfam family "transfer-messenger RNA". Rfam says of the family: Bacterial tmRNA, also known as 10Sa RNA or SsrA, is named for its dual tRNA and mRNA-like properties. Its role is to liberate the mRNA from a stalled ribosome. To accomplish this part of the tmRNA is used as a reading frame that ends in a translation stop signal. The record is from RNAcentral.
GGGGCUGACCGGUUUUGACAGCGCGUAGAAGUGGUGUGUAAGCGUGCAGAGCUACGAUGAUAGCAACUCUCUAAACUGCCUCAUCAACUUCUUUUAAAUGGCGAAAACAACUACGCUCUCGCUGCCUGAUUGAAGCACAGUAAAUCAGCUUUAUCCCCGCAACAGUUGCAGGGACGAGACAUCGCCCGAUUGUCCUGUUUCCGAGACUAAUCGACAAGGCGGUGCAGAAAUAUCGGAGAUAGCCGCAGCCCGGCUCCGUGGCGGCGGCGAAACCUUAGGAGCUAAGGCUCAGAUUGGCAGUCACCGGCCUGUCUGACCCCGACAACCAAUCGGCGACUACGCACGUAGAAAGCGCAUUAAUUCCGCGUUUGGACGAGGGUUCAAUCCCCUCCAGCUCCACU